CCUACGGGGGGCAGCAGUGAGGAAUAUUGGUCAAUGGGCGGAAGCCUGAACCAGCCAAGUAGCGUGCAGGAUGACGGCCCUACGGGUUGUAAACUGCUUUUAUACGGGAAUAACGCGCCUUACGUGUAGGGCUUUGCAUGUACCGUAUGAAUAAGGACCGGCUAAUUCCGGGCCCGCAGCCGCGGUAAUACGGAAGGUCCGGGCGUUCUCCGGAUUUAUUGGGGUUAAAGGGCGCGUAGGCCGCAUGUCAAGCGUGCUGUGAAAUUACCGGGCUCAACCCGGGCCUUGCAGCGCGAACUGGGGUGCUUGAGUCCGCGGAAAGCAGGCGGAAUUCGUCGUGUAGCGGUGAAAUGCUUAGAUAUGACGAAGAACCCCGAUUGCGAAGGCAGCUUGCUGCAGCGGAACUGACGCUGAUGCUCGAAAGCGCGGGUAUCGAACAGGAUUAGAUACCCGAGUAGUC
This 460-nucleotide ribosomal RNA is filed under the name uncultured bacterium. RNAcentral describes it as "partial 16S ribosomal RNA". It matches the Rfam family "Bacterial small subunit ribosomal RNA", at positions 338 to 795 of the family's 1533-position model. The record is from RNAcentral.